GCCCGAGUAGCUCAGAUGGCCAGAGCAGCUGUCUUGUAAACAGCAGGUCAUGGGUUCGAAUCCCAUCUCGGGCU
RNAcentral lists this transfer RNA (74 nucleotides) under Actinomycetes bacterium. RNAcentral's name for it is "tRNA-Thr". It matches the Rfam family "tRNA". Rfam says of the family: Transfer RNA (tRNA) molecules are approximately 80 nucleotides in length. Their secondary structure includes four short double-helical elements and three loops (D, anti-codon, and T loops). Further hydrogen bonds mediate the characteristic L-shaped molecular structure. tRNAs have two regions of fundamental functional importance: the anti-codon, which is responsible for specific mRNA codon recognition, and the 3' end, to which the tRNAs corresponding amino acid is attached (by aminoacyl-tRNA synthetases). tRNAs cope with the degeneracy of the genetic code in two manners: having more than one tRNA (with a specific anti-codon) for a particular amino acid; and 'wobble' base-pairing, i.e. permitting non-standard base-pairing at the 3rd anti-codon position. The record is from RNAcentral. Lineage: Bacteria; Bacillati; Actinomycetota; Actinomycetes.